Choloepus didactylus (southern two-toed sloth) is the source of this 830-nucleotide long non-coding RNA. RefSeq lists it as uncharacterized. Lineage: Eukaryota; Metazoa; Chordata; Mammalia; Pilosa; Megalonychidae. The transcript has 3 exons. The record is from RefSeq and is a predicted model, not a curated record.
AGGCUGGAGCUGUGGGCAGCCAUUUUGCCCCCUUGGAGCGAGAGCCUGUUUGACAAUGCAGCCAACCCAGAGAAACUGGGUCCUGCUGGACUUGCAUGAGCCUCACAUGCCUGGGAAGCCAGCAUUACCUCUGGAUUCUUCAGUUAUUCAGGUGACUGAGUCUCAUUGGUCAUGUUGCCUCCAGAUCUCCAACCCCCUUUAAGGACUUUUGGCUACAGAUUUGAUGAGUCCAAGUCAUUAGGAAAAAGGCUGAACAAGACAGGACCAAUGAUUGGUCCUUACAGCAUGUGGAAACUUCUCUGCAAGUUGUCAGAUUGAUAAGCCGGCACACAAUGCACAUGCUUUUUCACUCAGUCACUUGUACCUCCAGCAGGACUCUCCCCCAUUCCUUCUGCUAUCUUUCCCACAAAGACUGGAAAAGAUACUGCUUGCCUGAAUUUCAGCAAGUAUUGCGAUAUACCUGUAUUGCUCUUACUGUAGAGCCUGCUAUCCAGUCCCCAGAGAAGACAAUGUAAGUCAAGCAGAGCCUAUUCUUCAUGGAAUCGGAAUAAACCGAUCACUGUAUCCUUUUGCAAGUACUCACAAAUUAUCUUUUUAAUAGCUUUUUCUAGAAGCUAACUUACUCUAUUAGAGUUUGCAAAAUCUCCCUUGCACACUUUAUUAGGAAAAUAGAACUCAAAGAGAUUCUUAAGUAAAAAAAGUAUGAUUGAUUGGAAGAUGCUAGAUGGGGGCAAUUAGAAAGUACAUGUUUAAGUAAUCUGUGAUAAGAAUGGAUGUUUUAUAUUGUCUUUGAAUCUCUUAGCUAGUUGAAUUACACAGAGUAAGUUCAG